GACGAACGCUGGCGGCGUGCCUAAUACAUGCAAGUUGAGCGCUGAAGGUUGGUACUUGUACCCACUGGAUGAGCAGCGAACGGGUGAGUAACGCGUGGGGAAUCUGCCUUUGAGCGGGGGACAACAUUUGGAAACGAAUGCUAAUACCGCAUAAAAACUUUAAACACAAGUUUUAAGUUUGAAAGAUGCAAUUGCAUCACUCAAAGAUGAUCCCGCGUUGUAUUAGCUAGUUGGUGAGGUAAAGGCUCACCAAGGCGAUGAUACAUAGCCGACCUGAGAGGGUGGUCGGCCACAUUGGGACUGAGAAACGGCCCAAACGCCUACGGGAGGCAGCAGUAGGGAAUCUUCGGAAAUGGACGAAAGUCUGACCGAGCAACGCCGCGUGAGUGAAGAAGGUUUUCGGAUCGUAAAACUCUGUUGGUAGAGAAGAACGUUGGUGAGAGUGGAAAGCUCAUCAAGUGACGGUAACUACCCAGAAAGGGACGGCUAACUACGUG
This 497-nucleotide ribosomal RNA is filed under the name uncultured bacterium. Its description in RNAcentral is "partial 16S ribosomal RNA". It matches the Rfam family "Bacterial small subunit ribosomal RNA", at positions 28 to 507 of the family's 1533-position model. The record is from RNAcentral.